This 425-nucleotide long non-coding RNA is filed under the name Struthio camelus australis. Its description in RNAcentral is "lncRNA (ENSSCUG00000012371.1)". Lineage: Eukaryota; Metazoa; Chordata; Aves; Struthioniformes; Struthionidae. The record is from RNAcentral.
CUCCUCUCAGGGAGGAGAGCCUGUGGUUGCUUCUCCAGAAGAGGAUCUGGAGUGAUUUGCCCCUGUGUUACUCUGUGUCCUCUGUGCUCGGGAGGUCUAGUCUCUCUAACUCCUAGAGAUCCGGAGCGACAGCAUUUCCACACCGGGUGUCAGUGAGGCCUCUGCAUUUCCGUGCCUGCAGCUGUUAUCUGGGCAGUACAACCUCUGUUGACACCGGACACUUGGAGCACAGUCUGGGAUCACAAAGCUGAAGCCCACCGAGCCUGCUCAUAAUCAGGGAACAAGUCCUGAGCACUGCCCAAGGACAAAGCAGCUGGGGCUGCCUCCUUCAGACCUGACAAGAUGCCUCUUAAGACUUCCAUCCGAAAUACGUAAAACAAGCUCCUGAGAGGUGCCGAGUAAACCCAAGAUCUGGCUUACUGGCU